GUUAUAUGGUCAAGUGAAGAAGCGCAUACGGUGGAUGCCUUGGCAGUCAGAGGCGAUGAAAGACGUGGUAGCCUGCGAAAAGCUUCGGGGAGUCGGCAAACAGACUUUGAUCCGGAGAUGUCUGAAUGGGGGAACCCAGCCAUCACAAGAUGGUUAUCUUGCACUGAAUACAUAGGUGCAAGAGGCGAACCAGGGGAACUGAAACAUCUAAGUACCCUGAGGAAAAGAAAUCAACCGAGAUUCCCUUAGUAGUGGCGAGCGAACGGGGACUAGCCCUUAAGUGGCUUUGAGAUUAGCGGAACGCUCUGGAAAGUGCGGCCAUAGUGGGUGAUAGCCCUGUACGCGAAAAUCUCUUAGUCAUGAAAUCGAGUAGGACGGAGCACGAGAAACUUUGUCUGAAUAUGGGGGGACCAUCCUCCAAGGCUAAAUACUACUGACUGACCGAUAGUGAACUAGUACCGUGAGGGAAAGGCGAAAAGAACCCCGGAGAGGGGAGUGAAAUAGAUCCUGAAACCGUAUGCGUACAAGCAGUGGGAGCAGACUUUGUUCUGUGACUGCGUACCUUUUGUAUAAUGGGUCAGCGACUUAUUUUCAGUGGCGAGCUUAACCGAAUAGGGGAGGCGUAGCGAAAGCGAGUCUUAAUAGGGCGUCUAGUCGCUGGGAAUAGACCCGAAACCGGGCGAUCUAUCCAUGGGCAGGUUGAAGGUUAGGUAACACUGACUGGAGGACCGAACCGACUACCGUUGAAAAGUUAGCGGAUGACCUGUGGAUCGGAGUGAAAGGCUAAUCAAGCUCGGAGAUAGCUGGUUCUCCUCGAAAGCUAUUUAGGUAGCGCCUCAUGUAUCACUGUAGGGGGUAGAGCACUGUUUCGGCUAGGGGGUCAUCCCGACUUACCAAACCGAUGCAAACUCCGAAUACCUACAAGUGCCGAGCAUGGGAGACACACGGCGGGUGCUAACGUCCGUCGUGAAAAGGGAAACAACCCAGACCGUCAGCUAAGGUCCCAAAGUUAUGGUUAAGUGGGAAACGAUGUGGGAAGGCUUAGACAGCUAGGAGGUUGGCUUAGAAGCAGCCACCCUUUAAAGAAAGCGUAAUAGCUCACUAGUCGAGUCGGCCUGCGCGGAAGAUGUAACGGGGCUCAAACCAUACACCGAAGCUACGGGUAUCACGUAAGUGAUGCGGUAGAGGAGCGUUCUGUAAGCCUGUGAAGGUGAGUUGAGAAGCUUGCUGGAGGUAUCAGAAGUGCGAAUGCUGACAUGAGUAACGACAAUGGGUGUGAAAAACACCCACGCCGAAAGACCAAGGUUUCCUGCGCAACGUUAAUCGACGCAGGGUUAGUCGGUCCCUAAGGCGAGGCUGAAAAGCGUAGUCGAUGGAAAACAGGUUAAUAUUCCUGUACUUCUGGUUAUUGCGAUGGAGGGACGGAGAAGGCUAGGCCAGCUUGGCGUUGGUUGUCCAAGUUUAAGGUGGUAGGCUGAGAUCUUAGGUAAAUCCGGGAUCUUAAGGCCGAGAGCUGAUGACGAGUUGCCUUUAGGCGACGAAGUGGUUGAUGCCAUGCUUCCAAGAAAAGCUUCUAAGCUUCAGAUAACCAGGAACCGUACCCCAAACCGACACAGGUGGUUGGGUAGAGAAUACCAAGGCGCUUGAGAGAACUCGGGUGAAGGAACUAGGCAAAAUGGCACCGUAACUUCGGGAGAAGGUGCGCCGGUGAGGGUGAAGGACUUGCUCCGUAAGCCCAUGCCGGUCGAAGAUACCAGGCCGCUGCGACUGUUUAUUAAAAACACAGCACUCUGCAAACACGAAAGUGGACGUAUAGGGUGUGACGCCUGCCCGGUGCCGGAAGGUUAAUUGAUGGGGUUAGCUAACGCGAAGCUCUUGAUCGAAGCCCCGGUAAACGGCGGCCGUAACUAUAACGGUCCUAAGGUAGCGAAAUUCCUUGUCGGGUAAGUUCCGACCUGCACGAAUGGCGUAACGAUGGCGGCGCUGUCUCCACCCGAGACUCAGUGAAAUUGAAAUCGCUGUGAAGAUGCAGUGUAUCCGCGGCUAGACGGAAAGACCCCGUGAACCUUUACUAUAGCUUUGCACUGGACUUUGAAUUUGCUUGUGUAGGAUAGGUGGGAGGCUUUGAAGCGUGGACGCCAGUUCGCGUGGAGCCAUCCUUGAAAUACCACCCUGGCAACUUUGAGGUUCUAACUCAGGUCCGUUAUCCGGAUCGAGGACAGUGUAUGGUGGGUAGUUUGACUGGGGCGGUCUCCUCCUAAAGAGUAACGGAGGAGUACGAAGGUGCGCUCAGACCGGUCGGAAAUCGGUCGUAGAGUAUAAAGGCAAAAGCGCGCUUGACUGCGAGACAGACACGUCGAGCAGGUACGAAAGUAGGUCUUAGUGAUCCGGUGGUUCUGUAUGGAAGGGCCAUCGCUCAACGGAUAAAAGGUACUCCGGGGAUAACAGGCUGAUACCGCCCAAGAGUUCAUAUCGACGGCGGUGUUUGGCACCUCGAUGUCGGCUCAUCACAUCCUGGGGCUGAAGCCGGUCCCAAGGGUAUGGCUGUUCGCCAUUUAAAGUGGUACGCGAGCUGGGUUUAGAACGUCGUGAGACAGUUCGGUCCCUAUCUGCCGUGGACGUUUGAGAUUUGAGAGGGGCUGCUCCUAGUACGAGAGGACCGGAGUGGACGAACCUCUGGUGUUCCGGUUGUCACGCCAGUGGCAUUGCCGGGUAGCUAUGUUCGGAAAAGAUAACCGCUGAAAGCAUCUAAGCGGGAAACUUGCCUCAAGAUGAGAUCUCACUGGAACCUUGAGUUCCCUGAAGGGCCGUCGAAGACUACGACGUUGAUAGGUUGGGUGUGUAAGCGCUGUGAGGCGUUGAGCUAACCAAUACUAAUUGCCCGUGAGGCUUGACCAUAUAACACCCAAGCAAUU
RNAcentral lists this ribosomal RNA (2915 nucleotides) under Pseudomonas kribbensis. RNAcentral's name for it is "bacterial LSU rRNA". It matches the Rfam family "Bacterial large subunit ribosomal RNA". The record is from RNAcentral. Lineage: Bacteria; Pseudomonadati; Pseudomonadota; Gammaproteobacteria; Pseudomonadales; Pseudomonadaceae.